RNAcentral lists this ribosomal RNA (484 nucleotides) under uncultured bacterium. RNAcentral describes it as "partial 16S ribosomal RNA". It matches the Rfam family "Bacterial small subunit ribosomal RNA", at positions 30 to 507 of the family's 1533-position model. The record is from RNAcentral.
AUUGAACGCUGGCGGAAUGCUUUACUCAUGCAAGUCGAACGGCAGCACGGGGGCAGCCCUGGUGGCGAGUGGCGAACGGGUGAGUAAUACAUCGGAACGUGCCCGGUCGUGGGGGAUAACGUAGCGAAAGUUACGCUAAUACCGCAUACGAUCUGAGGAUGAAAGCGGGGGACCUUCGGGCCUCGCGCGAUCGGAGCGGCCGAUGUCAGAUUAGGUAGUUGGUGGGGUAAAGGCCUACCAAGCCGACGAUCUGUAGCUGGUCUGAGAGGACGACCAGCCACACUGGGACUGAGACACGGCCCAGACUCCUGCGGGAGGCAGCAGUGGGGAAUUUUGGACAAUGGGCGCAAGCCUGAUCCAGCCAUUCCGCGUGCAGGACGAAGGCCUUCGGGUUGUAAACUGCUUUUGUACGGAACGAAAAGGCUCUGGCUAAUACCUGGGGCUCAUGACGGUACCGUAAGAAUAAGCACCGGCUAACUACGUG